GAACUGGUGGUACACUGGGUAUUUUUUUCUUUGGUAGUACUUGUUCAAAAGUUUGUAUCUAUUUUCUCUUGAAGUGUCCAUGGACAGUGGAUCUCUGCUGAUGUCUGAGAUUGUGGAUAUUCCCGAUGACUCCUCCCCCUCAGAGGACUCUUGCCUCAUGGAGGUAGGCCUGAGGAGCCGUGGAGCGAGGUGCGGAAGGAGCACCAGUGAGGGGGACACAGGGGAGGGGAGCACCUACAUCAGCUUUCGUGGACCAUCCUCGCUAACGCCAGAGAGUCCACUGGCAGGAGGACCCAGAGCAAGAAGAUUCCUCAGAUCAGAGCGGUCCAACUCGUGCUCCUCCCCCAGCACAGCGACCAUCACAUAUAGGUCACCAGUAUUGCAUCGCCAGGCCUUGUUGACCAGUAGCUGCUCCCAGUUAGAAGCAAUGGGUGCUUCCAUCACCCAACAGCAGUCCUCUGUCCCAGAGAUCCUAGUCCGCCCCUCCACUCCCUCCUCUCAAGGACCUGGACAGACCUCCCCUCCUACAGCAUCUCCAGCGGACAGUAAACAGAACCAUAGUGAGGGGACGGCGCCCCCUCACCCGCCGCUGUAUUCGCGACACCAAGCUGGGAACGGUGAUGGAGAUGCAGGGGUCCCGAGACGAAAGGAGAAUGAGGGUUUCCUUGGACUUGUACGAUCGCACAGUGAACCAGGACUUGGGUCUUCCACAGAUACAGGUUGGCUUUGCAUGACUCAUGUAGAAAAGUCUGUCAUCCUAGUUUUUGUCUUAAUCGUUUUAUUACCUUCUUUAGUUGAUUUGGAUCUGGAAGCAGUAAGGAGGCCUAUCACACAUCAACAGACACAGCUCCAGGAUCUGAAGCAUGUCUCUUGCCACGGACCUCCCUGCCCCCUGCCACUGCUUUGCCGAGAAAAGGCAGCGUGA
Molecule: long non-coding RNA, 925 nt
Filed under: Neogobius melanostomus (round goby)
Lineage: Eukaryota; Metazoa; Chordata; Actinopteri; Gobiiformes; Gobiidae
Description: lncRNA (ENSNMLG00000015199.1)
Source: RNAcentral